CAGUUCGGAUUGCAGGCUGCAACCCGCCUGCAUGAAGCCGGAAUCGCUAGUAAUCGCAGAUCAGAAUGCUGCGGUGAAUACGUUCCCGGGUCUUGUACACACCGCCCGUCACACCAUGGGAGUCGAUAACGCCCGAAGUCAGUGACCCAACCGAGAGGAGGGAGCUGCCGAAGGCGGGAUGGAUAACUGGGGUGAAGUCGUAACAAGGUACC
This 212-nucleotide ribosomal RNA is filed under the name uncultured bacterium. RNAcentral describes it as "partial 16S ribosomal RNA". It matches the Rfam family "Bacterial small subunit ribosomal RNA", at positions 1289 to 1500 of the family's 1533-position model. The record is from RNAcentral.